UACGUAGGGGGCAAGCGUUGUCCGGAAUUAUUGGGCGUAAAGCGCGCGCAGGCGGUGGGUUAAGUUUGGUGUUUAAGCCCGGGGCUCAACCCCGGUUCGCACCGAAUACUGGCACACUUGAGUGCAGGAGAGGAAAGCGGAAUUCCACGUGUAGCGGUGAAAUGCGUAGAGAUGUGGAGGAACACCAGUGGCGAAGGCGGCUUUCUGGCCUGUAACUGACGCUGAGGCGCGAAAGCGUGGGGAGCAAACAGG
RNAcentral lists this ribosomal RNA (252 nucleotides) under uncultured bacterium. RNAcentral describes it as "partial 16S ribosomal RNA". It matches the Rfam family "Bacterial small subunit ribosomal RNA", at positions 524 to 776 of the family's 1533-position model. The record is from RNAcentral.